UGGGGAAUAUUGGACAAUGGGCGCAAGCCUGAUCCAGCCAUGCCGCGUGAGUGAUGAAGGCCCUAGGGUUGUAAAGCUCUUUCGCCAGGGACGAUAAUGACGGUACCUGGAUAAGAAGCCCCGGCUAACUUCGUGCCAGCAGCCGCGGUAAUACGAAGGGGGCUAGCGUUGUUCGGAAUCACUGGGCGUAAAGCGCACGUAGGCGGAUCUUUAAGUCAGGGGUGAAAUCCCGAGGCUCAACCUCGGAACUGCCUUUGAUACUGGAGGUCUCGAGUCCGGGAGAGGUGAGUGGAACUGCGAGUGUAGAGGUGAAAUUCGUAGAUAUUCGCAAGAACACCAGUGGCGAAGGCGGCUCACUGGCCCGGUACUGACGCUGAGGUGCGAAAAGCGUGGGGAGCAAACAGGAUUAGAUACCCUGGUAGUCCACGCCGUAAACUAUGGAUGCUAGCCGUUGGGCAGCUUGCUGUUCAGUGGCGCAGCUAACGCUUUAAGCAUCCCGCCUGGGGAGUACGGUCGCAAGAUUAAAAACUUAAAGGAAUUGACGGGGUCAUAACUGUUUCCU
RNAcentral lists this ribosomal RNA (562 nucleotides) under uncultured bacterium. Its description in RNAcentral is "partial 16S ribosomal RNA". It matches the Rfam family "Bacterial small subunit ribosomal RNA", at positions 355 to 937 of the family's 1533-position model. The record is from RNAcentral.